GCAAGUCGAACGGUAACAGGCCCUUCGGGGUGCUGACGAGUGGCGGAGGGGUGAGUAACGCGUAGGAAUUUGCUCAGUAGUGGGGGACAACUUUGGGAAACCCAAGCUAAUACCGCAUACGCCCUACGGGGGAAAGAGGGAAAUCUUCGGACCUCGCGCUAUUGGAUGAGCCUGCGUCGGAUUAGCUAGUUGGUAGGGUAAAGGCCUACCAAGGCGACGAUCCGUAGCUGGUUUGAGAGAACGAUC
This 246-nucleotide ribosomal RNA is filed under the name uncultured bacterium. RNAcentral describes it as "partial 16S ribosomal RNA". It matches the Rfam family "Bacterial small subunit ribosomal RNA", at positions 57 to 305 of the family's 1533-position model. The record is from RNAcentral.